UAAAUACCGCAUACGUCCUACGGGAGAAAGCAGGGGACCUUCGGGCCUUGCGCUAUCAGAUGAGCCUAGGUCGGAUUAGCUAGUUGGUGAGGUAAUGGCUCACCAAGGCGACGAUCCGUAACUGGUCUGAGAGGAUGAUCAGUCACACUGGAACUGAGACACGGUCCAGACUCCUACGGGAGGCAGCAGUGGGGAAUAUGGACAAUGGGCGAAAGCCCUGAUCCAGCCAUGCCGCGUGUGUGAAGAAGGUCUUCGGAUUGUAAAGCACUUUAAGUUGGGAGGAAGGGUUGUAGAUUAAUACUCUGCAAUUUUGACGUUACCGACAGAAUAAGCACCGGCUAACUCUGUGC
Molecule: ribosomal RNA, 350 nt
Filed under: uncultured Pseudomonas sp.
Lineage: Bacteria; Pseudomonadati; Pseudomonadota; Gammaproteobacteria; Pseudomonadales; Pseudomonadaceae
Description: bacterial SSU rRNA
Rfam family: Bacterial small subunit ribosomal RNA
Source: RNAcentral